CUCUCGCUCUCUGCGCUGUUGUAGCUGGACCCUCUGCCUUCGCCACCGCUUAGCAUCUGCACAUCCCUACAAUGGCUAAAACAGCAAUGGCCUACAAGGAAAAAAUGAAGGAACUGUCCAUGCUGUCCUUGAUCUGCUCUUGCUUCUACCCGGAACCUCGCAACAUCAAAAUCUAUACUUACGAUGAUAUGGAAGUGAAGCAAAUCAACAAGCGUGCCUCCGGCCAGGCUUUUGAGCUGAUCUUAAAACCACCAUCUCCCAUCUCAGAAGCUCCACGAACUUUAGCUUCUCCCAAGAAGGAAGACCUGUCCCUGGAGGAGAUCUGGAAAAAACUGGAGGCUGCAGAGGAAAGAAGAAAGUCUCAGGAGGCUCAGGUGCUGAAACAACUGGCGGAGAAGCGGGAACAUGAGCGAGAGUUCCUCCAGAAGGCUUUGGAGGAGAACAACAACUUCAGCAGGAUGGCGGAGGAGGAGCGGAUCCUGAAGAUGGAGCAAAUCAAGGAAAACCGUGAGGCGAAUCUAGCUGCUAUUAUUGAACGUCUGCAGGAAAAGGAGAGGCAUGUGGCGGAGGUGUGCAGGAACAGCAGCUGCAGGUCGAACUGCCUGGCUGAAGUGGAGGGUAUGGCACGCCCCACCAUUAGUAAAUCCCCCUGCCUAUAUUAUAAUGGAUCAUGCGAUAUCCGUAUGGGAAAUGUAUGA
This is a non-coding RNA of Odocoileus virginianus texanus, 698 nucleotides long. Lineage: Eukaryota; Metazoa; Chordata; Mammalia; Artiodactyla; Cervidae. The record is from RefSeq and is a predicted model, not a curated record.